UUGUUUUAGACUUGCUAAACCGAAUCGACGGCAAUCGGAGGACAGGAGAGGAACUAAAAAAGUUGGCAUCGCAAGAGAAGGAAUAUAUUUUAUUCUGGAAUUCAUGGUCGAGUAAAUCCGGCCGAGAUGGCGGGCUUUCCUGGAGCGUCCCAGAAUAUUAGAAACAAGCGAAGCGCUAUCUUUUCCGGAUAGGAUUUUACCAAGUCAAUAAGGUCCUUUACAAUCCCGCCUUAUACCCAGGACGAAGGUGGGAAUAAAGUGCUAUUGCAUUAUUCAAGUGUCUAUUCCGUCCGAGUAGUGAGUAAACAUGAGCACGUAGAACAGAAGAAUACUGGAAACUCGGGAGUUCUUGUAACAACAAUCGGGCAAGGUUUUAGGGAUGAAUCCCUACUGCCGCUAACUUGAUUCUACAAUCACCGCCGCACUUAGAGGGAUUUAAAAAUUUAGCUGAGAAUCAAUAUUUCAAGCUACUUCCUUAACGUUUUAUAUUUAUUUUUGUUGUAGGUUCCUCCGCUUUUACAUAAAUUGGUAAUUGGAUAGCGAAGUGUACAUAUGGGAUAAGCCAUCACCGUUGAUCUAUAUAUAUGACAACUUUCUUAAUGAAUUGAAAUUCCGCCAACAAUGUCAACAUGGGGAUAGAAUACACACAAUUCGUGCCAACGUUGAUUGGUCCGACUUUGGAAAACUCCUCGAACAAAAGAACUUCGGUUUUCAAGUUUUCUUAGAUACCCCACUUCUAUAUUUCAAUCAAGGUCCAGUUUUUCAGUUUAAAACAAUUAAAUACGUGCCUAAAUUAAAAUAAUUUAAAAUUCCACCAUGUUUUACGGCUACUGUGUUUAUCAUGCACGUACAGCUUGUUCUUCUCCGAGUCGGAUCUCGAGUAAAAAUAAAAUGUAGUCAAAUCACUUGUCAACUUUUUAGAAUUUGAUUAAAUUGCGGUUCUAUUAAAUUAAAAACUUAACUGGCAUUCAUUCGCGCCAGUCACGCAUGAAAAUGUAAAGCAGAUCUGCCAGAAAAACAGGAAGAUACGCCCGAUUAAAUAAUUUAGUUUUCGACUUUUUGCGUUAUCGCUCAGGUAAUGGCUUCAAAUCAUUUCAUCCGCUUACGUAUAACGGUAACUACUUAUCACAGACGAUUUGAGAACAAAAUUGGCUCAUCUUCGCCUCCAGAAAGGGACGACACUAAAUUAUAAUAAUAUGAUCGUUAUAUGUGAGCCAUAAACGUCUCGGUAUUAAAAUUGCUCAAAAUUUAUUUACUUUCCUCGCGCAAACGUCUACACCUCGGGUCGCCGAAAUUUAUGUGUGCGUUCAAAAAUUGAUCGAAGAAGUCUUUGGCAAAAUUUCAACGAGAAAAAAAAGAAAACGGACAACAAUAUUUUUUGUCGCUCUCAAAACUAUAAGUUAGAAUUUUAACAAAAAUUGCUAUACUAAAUAUGUCGGAAACGAUAGCUUGAUUUACGAUUUUUAUGAAUCGGAACUUGAAUGUAUAUAUUUUCUACGGCCAGUUUCCGCUCAUAUUGAUUUAUGAACACAACUAGGGGGUUAUUGUUGUAUUUUAUUGUUUUAUUUUCGUCGUAUGUUAUGUUCGCAAGUGGCGGUUAUGAUUGGACUAUAAAAUUCAUAUUGUGCUCUCGUGCUUUACAUUUUUGGGUGCACAUGCCAAUCUGACACAUUGCUACAAUGUCUUCAUUAAGAUGGUUCCGGGGUUGGUUGCAACCAUUACCCGCAAAGAUAGAUUUAGACAGCCGGCGAUUAUUCAUCUUUUGCAUAAUGUAUCUGGCAGUUACUUACUCUACAAUCUAAAAGUGCCCUUUAGGAAAAGCGAAAUUUUUAAGGCUACAACAUAAACCACCGACGUGGAUUUAAAUCCUAUACUUGAUUUUUCAAAAUUUGUUAAUUGUUUGUGGGUGUCUGACUUUAUCGAACAACUCAAAGUUUAAAUUUUGGACAAGUUAGCUCCGUUGCUUUUCACUGUCGAGAUAUCAUUAUUGCAAUAUCACUCUAAAAAUAAUAUUCAUUUGGGUUUUGCGUACAGCAAUCCUUGUUUGCGGGGGUACACCAAAUAUUUUUACUUCUUUAAUGUGUUAUGUUUAAAUGAUAUAUAAGCAACCCUCCAGUUUCCCUCCUAAAAUGGGUUUUCAGAAUAAAAUUACCUAAUUUUUUUUAGGAAGGUAAAACUUACAUAUAUAGGAAUCCUACCUUAAGGGGGUUGUAACUUUUGUGGUACAUUAAAUAUUUUUGUUUUUUCGUAAAUUACGAUUCGUUUAGAUAUUUCGAACACUGCUACUCCACCACCUUCAUCAACACGGUUCCAUAGCUGGAACCUUUACUCUCUCCCUUGGGAAUGAUUAGUUAUAUUAUAGGGGUUGAAGAUCAUUGUUUGUACCAAAUCAAAUUGAUCCUUUACGACAGUGGUAAAAAUAUUUUACCCACGGUUAACUCUAAAAGUCC
Photinus pyralis (common eastern firefly) is the source of this 2450-nucleotide long non-coding RNA. RefSeq lists it as uncharacterized. The record is from RefSeq and is a predicted model, not a curated record. Lineage: Eukaryota; Metazoa; Arthropoda; Insecta; Coleoptera; Lampyridae. The transcript is spliced from 3 exons.